Molecule: unclassified non-coding RNA, 369 nt
Filed under: soil metagenome
Description: partial contains 5.8S ribosomal RNA, internal transcribed spacer 2, and large subunit ribosomal RNA
Rfam family: 5.8S ribosomal RNA (bases 1-120)
Source: RNAcentral
GAUGAAGAACGCAGCGAAAUGCGAUAAGUAAUGUGAAUUGCAGAAUUCAGUGAAUCAUCGAAUCUGUGAACGCACAUUGCGCCCGCCAGUAUUCUGGCGGGCAUGCCUGUUCGAGCGUCAUUUCAACCCUCAAGCCCUGCUUGGUGUUGGGGAUCGGCGUUGCCUCCUCCGUCGUUCGCGGCGGGGUGAGGUCGCCGCCCCCGAAAUGAAUUGGCGGUCUCGUCGCAGCUUUCCUUUGCGUAGUAACAUACCACCUCGCAACCAGGAGCGCGGCGCGGCCACUGCCGUAAAACGCCCAACUUUUUCAAGAGUUGACCUCGAAUCAGGUAGGAAUACCCGCUGAACUUAAGCAUAUCAAUAAGCGGAGGA